Molecule: transfer RNA, 22 nt
Filed under: Tenodera costalis
Lineage: Eukaryota; Metazoa; Arthropoda; Insecta; Mantodea; Mantidae
Description: partial tRNA-Lys
Source: RNAcentral
CAUCAGAUGACUGAAAGCAAGA